GACGAACGCUGGCGGCGUGCUUAACACAUGCAAGUCGAACGGUGAAGCACCUUCCUUUUGGUGGGUGUGGAUGAGUGGCGAACGGGUGAGUAACACGUGAGUAACCUGCCCCCUUCUUCUGUAUAACCGCAUGAAAGUGUGGCCAAUACGGGAUAUUCUCGGUCUGUCGCAUGCCGGGCCUGGGAUAGCUAUUGUUUCGGUUGGGGAUGUGCUCGCGGUCUAUCAGCUUGUUGGUGGGGUGAUGGCCUACCAAGGCGAUGAGGAGUAGCCGGCCUGAGAGGGUGGCCGGUCAGGCUGGGAAGGAGACACAGCCAAGCCUGCUACGGGAGGCAGCAGUGAGGAAUAUUGCACGAUGGGGGGAAGCAUGAUGCAGCGACGGCGCGUGAGUGAUGGAGGCAUGCGGGUUGAAAGCCUCUUUCGCCAGUGAAGCAGGCCUGUCCCUUUUGUGGGUGGGUUGACGGUAGCUGGAGAAGAAGCGCCGGCUAACUACGUG
Molecule: ribosomal RNA, 493 nt
Filed under: uncultured bacterium
Lineage: Bacteria
Description: partial 16S ribosomal RNA
Rfam family: Bacterial small subunit ribosomal RNA
Source: RNAcentral